UGGGCGUUAUAAAUGUAAAUAUAUUGGUAAAUGUUCCUAUUUUUAAUUUCAGACUAUAGUUUUUUGUUAUCUGAAAAUGUUCAACAUGACUGAUAGAUAAUUCGUACUUAGAACAUGACAAAUCUCUCACGCAACCUGUAAAGCAGUACAUCACAUGUUGCUAUUGUCUUUCAAUUUUAACCCUUGUGAGAAGUGCUGGGUAAAGUAAAUAAUCGGCUUGAGUGCAUACAUGAUGGACGUAUGAUGGAAGAAUAGCCGUCAGAUCCCUCUGAAAUAAACAGCAGCGUGAACUGGUUGAACAAUGAGUACAAAUUACAGCACAGCAAAAUACAAUUAUC
Long non-coding RNA from Phalaenopsis equestris, 338 nucleotides. RefSeq lists it as uncharacterized. Lineage: Eukaryota; Viridiplantae; Streptophyta; Magnoliopsida; Asparagales; Orchidaceae. The transcript is spliced from 3 exons. The record is from RefSeq and is a predicted model, not a curated record.